AGUGAACGCUGGCGGUAGGCCUAACACAUGCAAGUCGAACGGCAGCACAGUAAGAGCUUGCUCUUACGGGUGGCGAGUGGCGGACGGGUGAGGAAUAAAUCGGAAUCUACUUUUUCGUGGGGGAUAACGUAGGGAAACUUACGCUAAUACCGCAUACGACCUACGGGUGAAAGCAGGGGAUCUUCGGACCUUGCGCGAUUGAAUGAGCCGAUGUCGGCUUAGCUAGUUGGCGGGGUAAAGGCCCACCAAGGCGACGAUCCGUAGCUGGUCUGAGAGGAUGAUCAGCCACACUGGAACUGAAACACGGUCCAGACUCCUACGGGAGGCAGCAGUGGGGAAUAUUGGACGAUGGGGGCAAGCCUGAUCCAGCCAUACCGCGUGGGUGAAGAAGGCCUUCGGGUUGUAAAGCCCUUUUGUUGGGAAAGAAAAGCAGCAGGUUAAUACCCCGCUGUUCUGACGGUACCCAAAGAAUAAGCACCGGCUAACUUCGUG
RNAcentral lists this ribosomal RNA (492 nucleotides) under uncultured bacterium. RNAcentral's name for it is "partial 16S ribosomal RNA". It matches the Rfam family "Bacterial small subunit ribosomal RNA", at positions 29 to 507 of the family's 1533-position model. The record is from RNAcentral.